This 72-nucleotide transfer RNA is filed under the name Camelus ferus (Wild Bactrian camel). It matches the Rfam family "tRNA". Rfam says of the family: Transfer RNA (tRNA) molecules are approximately 80 nucleotides in length. Their secondary structure includes four short double-helical elements and three loops (D, anti-codon, and T loops). Lineage: Eukaryota; Metazoa; Chordata; Mammalia; Artiodactyla; Camelidae. The record is from Rfam by way of RNAcentral.
GGAGGUGCAGCUCAGUGGUAGAGCAUGCAUUUAGCAUGCUGGAGGUCCUGGAUUCAGUCCCCAGUACCUCCA